CCUACGGGUGGCAGCAGUAGGGAAUUUUCGUCAAUGGGCGCAAGCCUGAACGAGCAAUGCCGCGUGAACGAGGAAGGUCUUCGGAUCGUAAAGUUCUGUUGACGGGGAAAAAGAGCGGAGAGAGGAAAUGCUUUCUGAUUGAUAUUACCCUUCGAGGAAGUCCCGGCUAACUACGUGCCAGCAGCCGCGGUAAUACGUAGGUGGCGAGCGUUAUCCGGAAUGAUUGGGCGUAAAGGGUUCGUAGGCGGCCUGCUAAGUCUGGAGUGAAAGGGACGGGCUCAACCGGGAAAGGCUCUGGAAACUGGCGGGCUAGAGAGCAGGAGAGGGCGGUGGAACUCCAUGUGUAGCGGUAAAAU
RNAcentral lists this ribosomal RNA (356 nucleotides) under uncultured bacterium. RNAcentral's name for it is "partial 16S ribosomal RNA". It matches the Rfam family "Bacterial small subunit ribosomal RNA", at positions 338 to 687 of the family's 1533-position model. The record is from RNAcentral.